RNAcentral lists this ribosomal RNA (1669 nucleotides) under Klebsiella pneumoniae. RNAcentral describes it as "partial 23S ribosomal RNA". It matches the Rfam family "Bacterial large subunit ribosomal RNA", at positions 1289 to 2925 of the family's 2925-position model. The record is from RNAcentral. Lineage: Bacteria; Pseudomonadati; Pseudomonadota; Gammaproteobacteria; Enterobacterales; Enterobacteriaceae.
UGCGAAUGCUGACAUAAGUAACGAUAAAGCGGGUGAAAAGCCCGCUCGCCGGAAGACCAAGGGUUCCUGUCCAACGUUAAUCGGGGCAGGGUGAGUCGACCCCUAAGGCGAGGCCGAAAGGCGUAGUCGAUGGGAAACAGGUUAAUAUUCCUGUACUUGGUGUUACUGCGAAGGGGGGACGGAGAAGGCUAUGUUAGCCGGGCGACGGUUGUCCCGGUUUAAGCAUGUAGGCUGGUUAUCCAGGCAAAUCCGGAUAAUCAAGGCUGAGGUGUGAUGACGAGGCACUACGGUGCUGAAGUAACAAAUGCCCUGCUUCCAGGAAAAGCCUCUAAGCAUCAGGUAACAUCAAAUCGUACCCCAAACCGACACAGGUGGUCAGGUAGAGAAUACCAAGGCGCUUGAGAGAACUCGGGUGAAGGAACUAGGCAAAAUGGUGCCGUAACUUCGGGAGAAGGCACGCUGGUGUGUAGGUGAAGUCCCUGCGGAUGGAGCUGAGACCAGUCGAAGAUACCAGCUGGCUGCAACUGUUUAUUAAAAACACAGCACUGUGCAAACACGAAAGUGGACGUAUACGGUGUGACGCCUGCCCGGUGCCGGAAGGUUAAUUGAUGGGGUUAUCCGUAAGGAGAAGCUCUUGAUCGAAGCCCCGGUAAACGGCGGCCGUAACUAUAACGGUCCUAAGGUAGCGAAAUUCCUUGUCGGGUAAGUUCCGACCUGCACGAAUGGCGUAAUGAUGGCCAGGCUGUCUCCACCCGAGACUCAGUGAAAUUGAACUCGCUGUGAAGAUGCAGUGUACCCGCGGCAAGACGGAAAGACCCCGUGAACCUUUACUAUAGCUUGACACUGAACAUUGAGCCUUGAUGUGUAGGAUAGGUGGGAGGCUUUGAAGCGUGGACGCCAGUCUGCGUGGAGCCAACCUUGAAAUACCACCCUUUAAUGUUUGAUGUUCUAACGUUGGCCCCUGACCGGGGUUGCGGACAGUGUCUGGUGGGUAGUUUGACUGGGGCGGUCUCCUCCCAAAGCGUAACGGAGGAGCACGAAGGUUAGCUAAUCCUGGUCGGACAUCAGGAGGUUAGUGCAAUGGCAUAAGCUAGCUUGACUGCGAGCGUGACGGCGCGAGCAGGUGCGAAAGCAGGUCAUAGUGAUCCGGUGGUUCUGAAUGGAAGGGCCAUCGCUCAACGGAUAAAAGGUACUCCGGGGAUAACAGGCUGAUACCGCCCAAGAGUUCAUAUCGACGGCGGUGUUUGGCACCUCGAUGUCGGCUCAUCACAUCCUGGGGCUGAAGUAGGUCCCAAGGGUAUGGCUGUUCGCCAUUUAAAGUGGUACGCGAGCUGGGUUUAGAACGUCGUGAGACAGUUCGGUCCCUAUCUGCCGUGGGCGCUGGAGAAUUGAGGGGGGCUGCUCCUAGUACGAGAGGACCGGAGUGGACGCAUCACUGGUGUUCGGGUUGUCAUGCCAAUGGCACUGCCCGGUAGCUAAAUGCGGAAGAGAUAAGUGCUGAAAGCAUCUAAGCACGAAACUUGCCCCGAGAUGAGUUCUCCCUGAGACUUUAAGUCUCCUGAAGGAACGUUAAAGACGAUGACGUUGAUAGGCCGGGUGUGUAAGCGCAGCGAUGCGUUGAGCUAACCGGUACUAAUGAACCGUGAGGCUUAACCUUACAACGCCGAAG